AUCGUAAACAGUUGUGUCUGU
Molecule: non-coding RNA, 21 nt
Filed under: Arabidopsis thaliana (thale cress)
Lineage: Eukaryota; Viridiplantae; Streptophyta; Magnoliopsida; Brassicales; Brassicaceae
Source: RNAcentral